Molecule: non-coding RNA, 46 nt
Filed under: Trichobilharzia regenti
Lineage: Eukaryota; Metazoa; Platyhelminthes; Trematoda; Strigeidida; Schistosomatidae
Source: RNAcentral
GUACUGCUGAAGAGUCCAAAACUAGGACGAAACAGCUAUCCUGUAC